Molecule: unclassified non-coding RNA, 323 nt
Filed under: soil metagenome
Description: partial contains 5.8S ribosomal RNA, internal transcribed spacer 2, and large subunit ribosomal RNA
Rfam family: 5.8S ribosomal RNA (bases 1-120)
Source: RNAcentral
GAUGAAGAACGUAGCGAAAUGCGAUAAGUAAUGCGAAUUGCAGAAUUCAGUGAGUCAUCGAAUCUUUGAACGCACAUUGCGCCCUGUGGUAUUCCGCAGGGCAUGCCUGUUCGAGCGUCAUUUCAACCCUCAAGCUCUGCUUGGUGUUGGGCCCUGCCCGCUGCGGCCGGCCCUAAAGACAGUGGCGGUGCCGCCUGGCCCUGAGCGUAGUACAUCUCUCGCUCCAGUGCCCGGUGGUAGCCUGCCAGAACCCCAACUCUCGUGGUUGACCUCGGAUCAGGUAGGGAUACCCGCUGAACUUAAGCGUAUCAAUAAGCGGAGGA